UAGUCCAUGCUGUAAACGAUGAUUACUCGAUGCUAUGUUUUAUUAUGUAGUGUUCAAGCGAAAGUGAUAAGUAAUCCACCUGGGGAGUACGUUCGCAAGGAUGAAACUCAAAGGAAUUGACGGGGGGCCCGCACAAGCGGUGGAGCAUGUGGUUUAAUUCGAUGAUACGCGAGGAACCUUACCAGAGUUUGAAAGUUAGUGCAUAAUUGUGAAAGCAGUUAGUCCUUCGGGACACGAAACUAGGUGCUGCAUGGUUGUCGUCAGCUCGUGCCGUGAGGUGUUAGGUUAAGUCCUGCAACGAGCGCAACCCCUACUAUUAGUUACCAUCAGGUUAUGCUGGGGACUCUAAUGGAACUGCCCGUUUAAACGGUGAGGAAGGUGGGGAUGACGUCAAAUCAUCACGGCCCUUACGCUCUGGGCUACACACGUGCUACAAUGGUCGGUACAGAGGGCAGCCACUCAGUGAUGAGGCGCUAAUCCUUAAAGCCGAUCACAGUUCGGAUCGG
RNAcentral lists this ribosomal RNA (506 nucleotides) under uncultured bacterium. Its description in RNAcentral is "bacterial SSU rRNA". It matches the Rfam family "Bacterial small subunit ribosomal RNA", at positions 791 to 1301 of the family's 1533-position model. The record is from RNAcentral.